Molecule: long non-coding RNA, 1673 nt
Organism: Symphalangus syndactylus (siamang)
Lineage: Eukaryota; Metazoa; Chordata; Mammalia; Primates; Hylobatidae
Source: RefSeq, a predicted model, not a curated record
GCUUCAGUCUGUUUGCAGACUGGCGGAGCAUGUUGAAAAGAAUGACUGGUCUUCUUACCAGGUAACAGGAGACACCUGGGCAGGGUAUGGUCUCAGUUCUUCCCAUCCCCCAAUGAUUCUCUACCACACUUGUUUUUUUUAAAUGUGUUCACUAAGCUCCAGGUUUUAUCUAAGUAAGCAUUUUACCUGUUUUAACUUAUUUAAUCCCUAUAGCAAAUAUAUGAGGUAGAGUGGUAGGCUGAUAAUGGAUCCCAAAGACAUAUCUCUGUCCUAAGCCCUGGAACUUGGAAUCUGUGAAUGUGACUUUCUGUGGUAAAGGUUAUGCAGAUGUGACUGUGUCAAAACUCUUGGGGACACCCUCCUGGGUUUUCCAGAUUGGCCUAAAUGCCAUCACAAAUGUUCUCAUGACAAAGAGGCAGAAAGAAAUUACACACACAGAGGAGAAGGCGAUGUGGGGGUGGAACAGAGAUUGGUGCGAUGUGGCCACAAACUGAUCAAUGCUGCGGCCACCACAACCUGCAAGAGGCCAGGCACGGAUUCUCCGCUAGAGCCUCCAGAAGGAGCACCACCAGAAAUCAAAUGACAGCACCUUGAUUUUGGAUUUCUGGCCUCCAGCACUGGGAGAGAAUAAAUUUCUUAAUAAUUAUCUUCAGCCACCGAGUUUGCAGCAAUUUCUUGCAGCAGACAAGGACUUCCUACAUGAUGUUGAAUAACAGCGGGCAGAGUGAAUCUCCUUUUCUUGUCUCUGACCUUUUGGAGAAAGUAUUCAGUCUUUCACCGUAAAUAUGUCAGCUGUAGCUCUUUUAUUGAUGUUCUUCGUCAAGUUGAAUAUGGAGUCUUAUGUUGACCAGGCUGGUCUUGAACUCCUGACCUCAAAUGAUCCUCCAUCUUAGCCUCCCAAAGCCCUGGAAUUACAGGCAAGGUUAUUGAAGAUCACACAGGCUGAAGAAGGCUGCUGAAUUCUUCAAUAUGAACCAUCCCUUUGAUAAGAAACGGAGUGGGCCUGGUUCUUCUCGUUCCAGGAGACCUCUGGUGUGCUUCCUGGCAUAUGAGUGAGUGGGAAAGACUCUGCCAGUCCCCAGUCCCCCACCCCUCUUGCCACUCAGCCUCAAUCUGUGAACCAGGCCAGCUAGCCAGUCUAUUAAUGCUGACAUUGAUUUGGACAACCAGGCCAAUCAAGAUCCCAUAAUUACUGGGAGUUUUAACCAACUCAUGCCAAUUCAGCUGCCGCUCAAUUUGUGCUGGACUUCGGUGCUGACAAGGAGGGAAGCGGCGGGGGUGGAGAGGAGGGCAUGCAAAAAGGAUUACAGGGAUCAAUAGUCCUUGGUAAUGAAGGACAGCAGCUGCAGGCACCACCAGGGGGCCUGAGACUUCAGAGUGGAGGAGACAGAGUCUGCCCCCAUCCCCCAGGAGAGCUCCCUGUCAGAGAAUGAAAACCAUGCCCCUGCUUCACCUCUGCCUACACCUGGAUCUGGAAACCACUUAGGCACUACCAGGCAGCACCUGUUCUCUGCAGGGUCCAACCCUCAGUAUCUCUCUCCACAUUUUGCCCUCAGCCGGGCCUGGCCUCCUCUUCCUGAAGAAUCAGCAAUGUAUGCUUCAGAGCCAGCAAUCCCAUUACUGAGUAUACAUCCAAAAGAAAAUAAAUCGCUCUACCAAAAAGACACAGACAA